AUUCCAGCUCCAAUAGCGUAUAUUAAAGUUGUUGUGGUUAAAAAGCUCGUAGUUGGAUCUCGGGUGGGCUGCGUCGGUCUCCAAUCGGUAGUACUGACGACGCCCGCCUUGCUGCCGGGUAUCCGCUCCCUGCCUUCACUGUCGGGGACGGAGAAUCGGCGACGUUACUUUGAGUAAAUUAGAGUGUUCAAAGCAAGCCAUCGCUCUGAAUAUAAUAGCAUGGGAUAACACGACAGGACUCUGGCCUAUCGUGUUGGUCUGUAGGACCAGAGUAAUGAUUAAGAGGGACAGUCGGGGGCAUUCGUACGCCGUAGUCAGAGGUGAAAUUCUUGGAUUUACGGCAGACGAACAUCUGCGAAAGCAUUUGCCAAGGAUGUUUUCAUUA
Molecule: ribosomal RNA, 385 nt
Filed under: Pirula sp.
Lineage: Eukaryota; Viridiplantae; Chlorophyta; Ulvophyceae
Description: partial small subunit ribosomal RNA
Rfam family: Eukaryotic small subunit ribosomal RNA
Source: RNAcentral